Long non-coding RNA from Neopsephotus bourkii (Bourke's parrot), 2423 nucleotides. RefSeq lists it as uncharacterized. The transcript has 3 exons. NCBI's taxonomy places the organism in Eukaryota, Metazoa, Chordata, Aves, Psittaciformes, Psittacidae. The record is from RefSeq and is a predicted model, not a curated record.
GGUAAACCAAAACAUUUUCAUGUACAAUUAGAAAGCAAGGUCAGACAGCACUGCCUAUAGAAUAAAUACCUAGCUAUUUGCAUACAGCUGUUUCUAUCUAUUAGAUGUGUUAACUCAAUUUUUGUGCAUUUAGAGGUACAGAAGCUUUGCCAUGCUUUAAAUAAGUGAAAAGUCCCCAGGGAUUUCCUUCUUUGUUACAGUGAUCUCAUUUUGUUGUGUACAAGCAGGAGGGCAAGUGUGCACUUGGAUGAUGAUGAAAAUGAACUUAACCAUCCAGAAUGAGAUUUUGACUGUAGAAUCGGCAUUCCCAGACACGAGUAUAUUGUCCUUGAGUUCCAUUCCACUUGUGAGAGACUGGUGGCCUGUUAGCGUGUGAAUGCAGUUGCCUGUCUCCACAUCCCAAACUCGGAUGGAAGUAUCAAGAGAUCCACUCACCACAUGGAUACCAUCAAACUACAAGAAAGUCCUGCCAGACUGUGGUGAGAACAGGCACAAGCAUGAAAUUAAUUUCUUUCGCCUUUCAAUGCCUGGAAGUGAUGCUCUGACUCUAUGAAUGAGCAAGACAAUCUUUUGGGUUAGUAAAGGUAAGGAAAGUCUACAUGAGGGCUCUGUGCAUCUUUGCCAGCUUUGUUCUGAUGAGCAGUCUGGGUGAACGGAAGGCAAUAGAGCCAUGCCACAGAGCACUACCACAAUAACCUGCAUCUACAGUAACAUGUUGCUGUUGACAAAGCCUCACAGUUGUAGAUCUGGCCUCUACUCAGAGAAGAGGAAGUAGAAGGCUGGAUAUUUACACUGGAACAUUAAAAUUUUAGGUUCAGUCUUACUGUGAAUUAUAGUUUGGAACUGGAAGAUGGGAGUACAAAAUAAGGAUAAGCAGAUCUGCAUAAUUCAGAACAUUAAUCCAAUGAGGGGUUUGGCACAUUUUCAAUUACUGUAUCAUCUGAUUUAUUUAAAACCAGUAAGUUUUGAAUUUCUUUUGGGAAAGCAAAAACAUAGCUUCAAAACACAUGCAAGGUUUAAAAAAAUACCCAACCAAACAACCCAGCAACCACAAAACUAUUUCAUUUGCUGGUAUACCAGAUUUGGGCUUUAUUGUACUGGGUGCUUUAGAAAAUACUUCUCUAAAAAAAGUAUGUCUGUUUCUAAAUAAAGACAACAUAUAACUAGCGUAACAAAAUGAAAGCGGGGACUAUCGCAGAUGCUUCUGUGUUCUUGUGGCCUGUGUCAUUCUGAAGUAGGUACCCACAACUUAAUAAACAAGGUGAAAUAAACUGACUUCAAAUGUUACUUAAGGAAACUAAAGCAGCAGAUGAAAAUCACAUACCUGUAAUGAGUAGACUCUGUUAGUAUGCCCUUGCAGUGUGUGCAGACAGGUCUCUGUCUCUGGAUCCCACACUUUGACCAUAAAAUCAUAUGCACCACUUACAACUCUUCUGCCAUCAUACUGAACGCACCGAACUGCAGCUACGUGGCCCAUCAGAACGUGUAAACACUGGCCCGUCUCUAUGUCCCAAACUCUCAGGGUAGCAUCUCGAGACCCACUGACCACUCUGGAGGAACAAGAAAACCCCUCCUGUACUUAGCAUCGGACAUAAAAGUAUUACAAUAAAUCAGUUACAUGUUUUAUUUUGAGGCAUGAGAUAGCAUUAGUCCACUACCCACCAAAGAUCCAGUCUGGCAUUUUAUUAGGGUCAAAAAUUACUGCACUGUUUUUCCUUCUGUGCUUUACUUACCUCCCCAGAAUCUAUUGAUAUAAUUAGCAAUCAGUAUUUAAAAAGGCAUUUAAUUCCUGAACAGCAAAACGAUGAUGCCAUGAGAAAUUAUGUAGGCUCUUGUAUCUGCCUAUGAAAGCUUAUGAAUGUGCUGAGCUCCAGUCAGUGCUAGGAGCAUUCUGUUUUAAUGACUAAGUUAACUAAUUAUACCAAUUAAACGAGAUCUUUAGAAGUUUUUGUAAAGUAACAGUUAUUCUGCUUGAUUCUUUUCAGUUUAAACUUUUCAAGGCUUUUUUAGGGAAGAACAGAAUUGAGAAGGAAUUAAUGAAACUGAUAAAGAUAAAACCUCAUCAUUCUUUGAAAAAGAAGGAAAGCAAGCAACAGGCACACUGUCAGCAGCUCCAUACCACAGCCAAGUAAAGGAGCUUUGCCAGCAUUCGUUGUGUGGAUCAAGACAUGGUUUACUAUUGCAGGAAUGAUGAUAUAAUCAGCUAAAACGUACAGAAAAGACUGCAGUGCUGAUACUUAAGCAGUCAUUCUGCAAGAUGAGUACAAGUUUGUGGCACUGACAAAAAGAAGAAAUUAUUUAGUGUGGGAGACUGGAUCACAGCGUAACAAAGAACUAGUUUUGAAAUAACGCAGAAUGUGACUUUAUAAAGUACGUGACUCAAUUUCUGUUCUUUAAUUAGCAAUCUUGUGCUUUUGCUUCUA